AGUGAACGCUGGCGGUAGGCCUAACACAUGCAAGUCGAACGGCAGCACAGUAAGAGCUUGCUCUUACGGGUGGCGAGUGGCGGACGGGUGAGGAAUACAUCGGCAUCUACUUUUUCGUGGGGGAUAGCGUAGGGAAACUUACGCUAAUACCGCAUACGACCUACGGGUGAAAUCAGGGGAUCUUCGGACCUUGCGCGAUUGAAUGAGCCGGUGUCGGAUUAGCUAGUUGGCGUGGUAAAGGCCCACCAAGGCGACGAUCCGUAGCUGGUCUGAGAGGAUGAUCAGCCACACUGGAACUGAGACACGGUCCAGACUCCUACGGGAGGCAGCAGUAGGGAAUAUUGGACAAUGGGCGAAAGCCUGAUCCAGCCAUACCGCGUGGGUGAAGAAGGCCUUCGGGUUGUAAAGCCCUUUUGUUGGGAAAGAAAAGCAGCAGGUUAAUACCCCGCUGUUCUGACGGUACCCAAAGAAUAAGCACCGGCUAACUUCGUG
This 492-nucleotide ribosomal RNA is filed under the name uncultured bacterium. RNAcentral's name for it is "partial 16S ribosomal RNA". It matches the Rfam family "Bacterial small subunit ribosomal RNA", at positions 29 to 507 of the family's 1533-position model. The record is from RNAcentral.